RNAcentral lists this ribosomal RNA (229 nucleotides) under uncultured bacterium. RNAcentral describes it as "partial 16S ribosomal RNA". It matches the Rfam family "Bacterial small subunit ribosomal RNA", at positions 568 to 796 of the family's 1533-position model. The record is from RNAcentral.
UGCGCAGGCGGAUUGAUAAGUCAGUGGUGAAAUCUCCCGGCUCAACCGGGAAACUGCCAUUGAAACUGCCAAUCUAGAGUACAGUUGAAGUAGGCGGAAUGUAGCAUGUAGCGGUGAAAUGCAUAGAUAUGCUACAGAACACCGAUUGCGAAGGCAGCUUACUAAGCUGUAACUGACGCUCAGGCACGAAAGCGUGGGGAGCAAACAGGAUUAGAUACCCUGGUAGUCC